RNAcentral lists this ribosomal RNA (253 nucleotides) under uncultured bacterium. Its description in RNAcentral is "partial 16S ribosomal RNA". It matches the Rfam family "Bacterial small subunit ribosomal RNA", at positions 524 to 776 of the family's 1533-position model. The record is from RNAcentral.
UACGAAGGGGGCUAGCGUUGCUCGGAAUCACUGGGCGUAAAGCGCACGUAGGCGGAUUGUUAAGUCAGGGGUGAAAUCCUGGAGCUCAACUCCAGAACUGCCUUUGAUACUGGCGAUCUUGAGUCCGGGAGAGGUGAGUGGAACUCCGAGUGUAGAGGUGAAAUUCGUAGAUAUUCGGAGGAACACCAGUGGCGAAGGCGACUUCCUGGCCUGUUCUUGACGCUGAGGCGCGAAAGCUGGGGGAGCAAACGGG